GUGCUCGAGUGGCGAACGGGUGAGUAACACGUGAGUAACCUGCCCUUGACUUUGGGAUAACUUCAGGAAACUGGGGCUAAUACCGGAUAGGAGCUCCUGCUGCAUGGUGGGGGUUGGAAAGUUUCGGCGGUUGGGGAUGGACUCGCGGCUUAUCAGCUUGUUGGUGGGGUAGUGGCUUACCAAGGCUUUGACGGGUAGCCGGCCUGAGAGGGUGACCGGCCACAUUGGGACUGAGAUACGGCCCAGACUCCUACGGGAGGCAGCAGUGGGGAAUAUUGCACAAUGGGCGGAAGCCUGAUGCAGCAACGCCGCGUGCGGGAUGACGGCCUUCGGGUUGUAAACCGCUUUCGCCUGUGACGAAGCGUGAGUGACGGUAAUGGGUAAAGAAGCACCGGCUAACUACGUGCCAGCAGCCGCGGUGAUACGUAGGGUGCGAGCGUUGUCCGGAUUUAUUGGGCGUAAAGGGCUCGUAGGUGGUUGAUCGCGUCGGAAGUGUAAUCUUGGGGCUUAACCCUGAGCGUGCUUUCGAUACGGGUUGACUUGAGGAAGGUAGGGGAGAAUGGAAUUCCUGGUGGAGCGGUGGAAUGCGCAGAUAUCAGGAGGAACACCAGUGGCGAAGGCGGUUCUCUGGGCCUUUCCUGACGCUGAGGAGCGAAAGCGUGGGGAGCGAACAGGCUUAGAUACCCUGGUAGUCCACGCUGUAAACGGUGGGUACUAGGUGUGGGGUCCAUUCCACGGGUUCCGUGCCGUAGCUAACGCUUUAAGUACCCCGCCUGGGGA
RNAcentral lists this ribosomal RNA (780 nucleotides) under uncultured Propionibacterium sp. Its description in RNAcentral is "bacterial SSU rRNA". It matches the Rfam family "Bacterial small subunit ribosomal RNA", at positions 87 to 879 of the family's 1533-position model. The record is from RNAcentral. Lineage: Bacteria; Bacillati; Actinomycetota; Actinomycetes; Propionibacteriales; Propionibacteriaceae.